GGCUAGUCAGAACAGUAGUUUCAAAACCACUAACCCGAGGUCGAGGAAAUUAUUUUUUUAUAUUAUUUUAUGUAUUGUAGCAUGAUUAGAUAAGUACAUGAAAAUUUUGGUGAAUUAAUUUUAGCGAUUGUUUGCUUAAUUGCGAAAAAAGGACUAAAUCGCAUAAAGUAAAAAAGUCUUAAAUUGUUAGCUAAAGGUGUUAAAUUGCUAUGAACCUUAAUUUAGGGGUUUUUAAAGGGCAAUUAGACCCUUUCCUAAGAGCUUGGC
Molecule: long non-coding RNA, 267 nt
Filed under: Gossypium barbadense (sea-island cotton)
Lineage: Eukaryota; Viridiplantae; Streptophyta; Magnoliopsida; Malvales; Malvaceae
Description: long non-coding RNA (GBAR_LNC007326)
Source: RNAcentral